This is a non-coding RNA of Podarcis muralis (Common wall lizard), 416 nucleotides long. The record is from RefSeq and is a predicted model, not a curated record. Lineage: Eukaryota; Metazoa; Chordata; Lepidosauria; Squamata; Lacertidae.
CCAGGCACUUGGGAGCAAUAUUCUUCGUGUUUCCUUUUGUUGCUCUUCCCAGGCUCCUUGCUGCUAGCAUGCUGAAAAGACGUGCAUCAGGGAUCUAGUAUGAAUAGAAACUAAGCAAUCAACCAUUUCCCGUGAAUCCAUUUGUUCUGCUUCAUACGGAGUUGGCUAAUCCUGCUCUGAAUUUUAAUGGCCUUAAAAAAGGACGUGGCAAUUGAAUUAUACGCUCUGCUUAUCAAAGAACAAAGAACAAAGUAACUUGCAGCCUACAAAGAACUGUAAGGUUAUCGGAACAAAAGAAAAUCUUCAAGUCGUUCAGCAGCUGCAUGAAGUGGUGUGUCCAGUCCCUUACCCAGGUUGACACUAGCUCCUUGGAGAGAAUGUAUGGGAAGGAAAACAAACCAGUUAGCAUUACAUGG